CUUGUUACUCUCAGUCAUAGAAUUUCAUAAUAUUUUAGCAAGUGCUGAGAACUAUGUAUCUAGAUCACAGCGGAAGCCUUCAUGAGUGCAUAUGUACCGUACUUACCUUUUUUUUUUUUCUGGUUAGAAGGAAGGCUUUACUUUUACAGCCAAGUUUUUGUUGUGAGAGAAAUCAAAGGAUUCCAACAGUUUUAAUAAUCUACAGAAGGAUUCUUUUCCAGGCAUCCAACGCACUGGAGGAGCUUUGCUUUAUGAUUAUGGGAAUGCUACCAAAGCCUCAGGAACAAGAUGAAAAAGAUAAUACUAAAAGGUUCUUAUUUCAUUAUUCGAAGACACAGAAGUUGGGCAAGUCAAAUGUUGUGUCGUCAGUUGUGCAUCCGUUGCUGCAGCUCGUUCCUCACCUGCAUGAGAGAAGAAUGAAGAGAUUCAGAGUGGACGAAGAAUUCCAAAGUCCCUUUGCAAGUCAAAGUCGAGGAUAUUUUUUAUUCAGGCCACGGAAUGGAAGAAGGUCAGCAGGGUUCAUUUAAAAUGGAUGCCAGCUAAUUUUCCACAGAGCAAUGCUAUGGAAUACAAAAUGUACUGACAUUUUGUUUUCUUCUGAAAAAAAUCCUUGCUAAAUGUACUCUGUUGAAAAUCCCUGUGUUGUCAAUGUUCUCAGUUGUAACAAUGUUGUAAAUGUUCAAUUUGUUGAAAAUUAAAAAAUCU
RNAcentral lists this long non-coding RNA (705 nucleotides) under Homo sapiens (human). RNAcentral describes it as "long non-coding RNA NONHSAT199974.1". The record is from RNAcentral. Lineage: Eukaryota; Metazoa; Chordata; Mammalia; Primates; Hominidae.